GAAUUGUUCGCAAUGGGCGCAAGCCUGACGACGCAACGCCGCGUGGAGGAUGAAGAUUUUCGGAUCGUAAACUCCUGUCGAAUGGGACGAAUAGAUCUCGGGUGAACAACUCGAGGUCCUGACGGUACCGUGAAAGGAAACCACGGCUAACUCCGUUCCAGCCGCCGCGGUAAUACGGGGGGGGUAAGCGUUGUUCGGAAUUACUGGGCGUAAAGGGCUCGUAGGCGGCCAACUAAGUCAGACGUGAAAUCCCUCAGCUUAACUGGGGAACUGCGUCUGAUACUGGAUGGCUUGGAUUCGGGAGAGGAAUGCGGAAUUCCAGGUGUAGCGGUGAAAUGCGUAGAUAUCUGGAGGAACACCGGUGGCGAAGGCGGCAUUCUGGACCGACAUUGACGCUGAGGAGCGAAAGCCAGGGGAGCAAACGGG
RNAcentral lists this ribosomal RNA (426 nucleotides) under uncultured bacterium. RNAcentral describes it as "bacterial SSU rRNA". It matches the Rfam family "Bacterial small subunit ribosomal RNA", at positions 359 to 776 of the family's 1533-position model. The record is from RNAcentral.